CCUACGGGAUGCAGCAGUGAGGAAUAUUGGUCAAUGGGCGGGAGCCUGAACCAGCCAAGUCGCGUGAGGGAAGACGGUCCUAUGGAUUGUAAACCUCUUUAGUCGGGGAGCAAUGCCGGGCACGUGUGCCCGGCAGGAGAGUACCCGCAGAAUAAGCAUCGGCUAACUCCUUGCCAGCAGCCGCGGUAAUACGGAGGAUGCGAGCGUUAUCCGGAUUUAUUGGGGUUAAAGGGUUCGUAGGCGGAUUUUUAAGUCAGCGGUAAAAUGUCGGGGCUCAACCCGGGCCGGCCGUUGAAACUGGGGAUCUUGAGUGGGGGAGAAGUAGGCGGAAUGCGUGGUGUAGCGGUGAAAUGCAUAGAUAUCACGAAGAACUCCGAUUGCGAAGGCAGUAUACUGGAGCCCGACUGACGCUGAGGCACGAAAGCGUGGGGAUCGAACAGGAUUAGAUACCCCAGUAGUC
Molecule: ribosomal RNA, 460 nt
Filed under: uncultured bacterium
Lineage: Bacteria
Description: partial 16S ribosomal RNA
Rfam family: Bacterial small subunit ribosomal RNA
Source: RNAcentral